RNAcentral lists this ribosomal RNA (467 nucleotides) under uncultured bacterium. RNAcentral's name for it is "partial 16S ribosomal RNA". It matches the Rfam family "Bacterial small subunit ribosomal RNA", at positions 28 to 506 of the family's 1533-position model. The record is from RNAcentral.
GACGAACGCUGGCGGCGUGCUUAACACAUGCAAGUCGAACGGAAAGGCCCUGCUUUUGUGGGGUGCUCGAGUGGCGAACGGGUGAGUAACACGUGAGUAACCUGCCCUUGACUUUGGGAUAACUUCAGGAAACUGGGGCUAAUACCGGAUAGGAGCUCCUGCUGCAUGGUGGGGGUUGGAAAGUUUCGGCGGUUGGGGAUGGACUCGCGGCUUAUCAGCUUGUUGGUGGGGUAGUGGCUUACCAAGGCUUUGACGGGUAGCCGGCCUGAGAGGGUGACCGGCCAAAUUGGGACUGGGGUGCGGCCCAGACUCCUACGGGAGGCAGGGGGGGGGAAUAGUCGAAAAGGGGGGGAGGCCGGGUGCACGACCGCCGGGGGGGGAAUGACGGCCUUCGGGUUUUAAACCUCUUUCCCCUGGGAAGAAGCGUGAGGGAGGGAAAUGGGUAAAAAAACACCGGCAAACAAGGU